Molecule: long non-coding RNA, 2214 nt
Organism: Lolium rigidum
Lineage: Eukaryota; Viridiplantae; Streptophyta; Magnoliopsida; Poales; Poaceae
Exons: 5
Source: RefSeq, a predicted model, not a curated record
CCCCGCGGCCCUGCCUCGCCGAGGCUACCGCCAGCAUCCAGCUCAGCUCCUCUGCCCCGCCGUUGCACAAACGAUGGUUGAUAGUUUGUCAAAGGCAUAUUGCACACUUCAUUUUUCGCUGAAUUUUCUGAUCUUAAUUCUUAGCUCUGGUGACACUUCAUGCAGUGAGGAGAAAAACUCGUUUCCCUUCUCCGAAACCGGAUAGGAGUUGCUCCCCAGUCCAUACUCCCUAGGAGGCGUGUAAGCUCUCCCUCGCUGAAGCGACAUAGAAGACAGAGAAGUCCAGGCAGUACAAGUUCACUCGUGAAUAACUCUUGCAGUCCUAGUCAUAGGUCACAUCAACAUAGUAUUAUAGGUAAAAUCAUAUGGCUACAUGUUGCCAGUUUGCUCUUCUCACCUUAACUUUCUAUAGUCAAAUCUUUGGCACUCGGAAGGACUGUUUGCUUGACAAGAAAUAUACUCACUCAAACCUUCUCAACAUCUUCGGUCUACUUAUCUAUUUAAUUUGAUUAGAUUUGGUUGACCAAUCAAAAAUAUAUUAAAAAAACGCAAAUUAGUAUAAUCUAUCUAAGCACAUAUUGGAUGUUGCAAACUAAUACAACAUGGCUAAAAACAAUAGAAUGGAUGUAGAUGUAAUGAAAUUAGAUUUGUGUACAUGCUGCAAUAUUCAUAAAUUGUUCAAAGUUAACUGAUAUAUGGAAGAGAUAUUUCUUUUGUUGAUUACCAAUACAGGAAUGCAAGCUUGCUUUGAUUGGCUAGAGUGGUUAGAGCGGUGCACUGUCCCUACACAUAUCCAUGAUACAGUUCAAUGAAACAUCGAAACACCAACACUUACUAGUCUCUCAGCACAUGUAUAUCUCUUAUUUAUUCUCGAAUAUCAAACUUAGAAAUGCUAUCCUGAAGUCAAGGCUUUUAAAUGCAGAAGCAAAAUAUGAGUCUGCUGGUUGUUAACACGCACACGAAACUCUUUGUCCCUCCGGGUGGCUGCAGUGUCAGUGCUGUCAAGUUUCUCGCAAGGAGUGAUAGAUUGGGCAUGUUGGUGCGGUAGAUGUUGGUGAGGCUUAGGCUAGUCAUAGUGGAGUGUAACAUAGAGUCAUAGAGUAGUAACAUGCACAUGUUACUAAUCUAUGUUAUUACCUUCAUACUCCCUCUGUCCUCAAAUAAAUGUACGUUAGGACAUGUCUUAAGUCAUACUAUAUUAACUUUGACUAUAACUUGUUUAAAAAAAUAGCAAUAUUUAUGAUACCCAAUUAAUAUGGUUAGACUCAUCUUGACAUGUAGUUAAAUAAUGUAGUAGUUACCCGCAAAAAAUUUCUAAUCUUACCUGCAAAAAUAAUAAUAAUGUAGUAGUUUACCGCAGGUGAUGGAUGCAGGGCUCGAGAUAGUAGGUGGCAACUGUGUCGUCUACCCUUCAUCACAGUAGCCCCAUGACCAGUCCGACAAUCUCUCCCUAUUCCUCCGACUUUAGGGCAAUAGCAAGGUUUGCUCGAUGCGCCUCACUGAGCUAAUUGUAACCCACCCUAUGAAAUCUAUAAUCCAAAAGGAAGCUGAACUUAGGUUAUUGGAAGAGGAGUUUGCCAGGAAAGUUGAAGAAGCCAAAAGGAAAAAUCUUGAAGAGCGUCUGAACUCCGAGGAUGUAAAACAUGAAAUACAGCGCCGGUUGAGGAAGGUAUAAGAAAGUUAUUUGACGAGGUUUAUGCUCAACUACUGAAAGAAAAGGAUGCAGCUCUGAAUGAAACCAGGCAGAAAGUUGAACAAGAAAGAAGAGAGAGGGAGGAGUUGGAUAGGAUGCUCGAGGAGAACCGACGGAAAGUAGAGGAAUCUCAAAGAAAAUAAGCUCCGGAGCAGCAGCAGAAAGAGUUGGAGCGGUAUUUGGAGCUGGAAAAGAUCUAAAAGCAAAGAGAAGAAGCUUUAUGCAGGAAGAACAUAGAGGACUAAGACGAAGAAGAAGAGAGAGCUAGGCAGAUGAACCUCUGUUAGGAAAUAAUAGUUACUGAUGUUUUGACAGUGUUGUAAUCUGUUGGUGUCUCAAAAAAAUGGGCAUGCAGUUUUUGUGAAACCUCAAAUGUCUUGAUACAGCUGAGCCCACUUAUGUGUUUGAGUUGCUCUGCUGUUAAUUUCUGAAAUUUGCUGAGCUGGCCAUGUCUACUGAUUGUGCCAUGGGCACAAAAUGCAAGAUGUAGCGUAUCUGAAUGCAGUAUUUUCUGACUUCAA